GGCCCUACGGGGCGCAGCAGUCGCGAAAACUUUGCAAUACACGAAAGUGUGACAGGGCUAUCCCGAGUGCCAUCCGCUGAGGAAGGCUUUUACCCAGUCUAGAAAGCUGGGGGAAUAAGGAGAGGGCAAGUCUGGUGUCAGCCGCCGCGGUAAUACCAGCUCUCCGAGUGGUGUGGAUGUUUAUUGGGCCUAAAGCAUCCGUAGCUGGCUAAGUUAGUCCCCUGUUAAAUCCGACGAAUUAAUCGUUGGAUCGCGGGGGAUACUGCUUGGCUAGGGGACGAGAGAGGCAGACGGUAUUUCCGGGGUAGGGGUGAAAUCCUAUAAUCCCGGGAAGACCACCAGUGGCGAAGGCUGUCUGCUAGAACGCGCCCGACGGUGAGGGAUGAAAGCUGGGGGAGCGAACCGGAUUAGAUACCCGGGUAGUCCCAGCUGUAAACGAUGCAGGCUAGGUGUUUGGACGGCCACGUGCCGUUCUAGUGCCGCAGGGAAGCUGUUAAGCCUGCCGCCUGGGGAGUACGAUCGCAAGAUUGAAACUUAAAGGAAUUGGCGGGGGAGCACCACAAGGGGUGAAGCUUGCGGUUUAAUUGGAGUCAACGCCGGAAAUCUCAC
This 609-nucleotide ribosomal RNA is filed under the name uncultured archaeon. Its description in RNAcentral is "bacterial SSU rRNA". It matches the Rfam family "Archaeal small subunit ribosomal RNA", at positions 319 to 930 of the family's 1478-position model. The record is from RNAcentral.